Molecule: small RNA, 30 nt
Filed under: Bombyx mori (domestic silkworm)
Lineage: Eukaryota; Metazoa; Arthropoda; Insecta; Lepidoptera; Bombycidae
Description: ovarian small RNA-11068
Source: RNAcentral
ACACUUAUUCAUUGCGCUAUUAGAGCAGCC